GUGCUUGCUUCGGCAGCACAUAUGCUAAAAUUAGAAUGAUACAGAGAUUAGCGUGGCCCCUGCGCAAGGAUGACACACAGAUUCGUGAAGCAUUCUUAGUUUUU
Molecule: small nuclear RNA, 104 nt
Filed under: Theropithecus gelada (gelada)
Lineage: Eukaryota; Metazoa; Chordata; Mammalia; Primates; Cercopithecidae
Source: RNAcentral